GACGAACGCUGGCGGCGUGCCUAAUACAUGCAAGUAGAACGCUGAAGAGAGGAGCUUGCUCUUCUUGGAUGAGUUGCGAACGGGUGAGUAACGCGUAGGUAACCUGCCUGGUAGCGGGGGAUAACUAUUGGAAACGAUAGCUAAUACCGCAUAAAAUUGAUUAUUGCAUGAUAAUUAAUUGAAAGAUGCAACUGCAUCACUACCAGAUGGACCUGCGUUGUAUUAGCUAGUUGGUGAGGUAACGGCUCACCAAGGCGACGAUACAUAGCCGACCUGAGAGGGUGAUCGGCCACACUGGGACUGAGGCACGGCCCAGGCUCCUACGGGAGGCAGCAGUAGGGAAUCUUCGGCAAUGGGGGGAACCCUGACCGAGCAACGCCGCGUGAGUGAAGAAGGUUUUCGGAUCGUAAAGCUCUGUUGUAAGAGAAGAACGGGUGUGAGAGUGGAAAGUUCACACUGUGACGGUAGCUUAACAGAAAGGGACGGCUAACUACGUG
Molecule: ribosomal RNA, 497 nt
Filed under: uncultured bacterium
Lineage: Bacteria
Description: partial 16S ribosomal RNA
Rfam family: Bacterial small subunit ribosomal RNA
Source: RNAcentral